GAUGAACGCUGGCGGCGUGCCUAAUACAUGCAAGUCGAGCGAACGGACGAGAAGCUUGCUUCUCUGAUGUUAGCGGCGGACGGGUGAGUAACACGUGGAUAACCUACCUAUAAGACUGGGAUAACUUCGGGAAACCGGAGCUAAUACCGGAUAAUAUUUUGAACCGCAUGGUUCAAAAGUGAAAGACGGUCUUGCUGUCACUUAUAGAUGGAUCCGCGCUGCAUUAGCUAGUUGGUAAGGUAACGGCUUACCAAGGCAACGAUGCAUAGCCGACCUGAGAGGGUGAUCGGCCACACUGGAACUGAGACACGGUCCAGACUCCUACGGGAGGCAGCAGUAGGGAAUCUUCCGCAAUGGGCGAAAGCCUGACGGAGCAACGCCGCGUGAGUGAUGAAGGUCUUCGGAUCGUAAAACUCUGUUAUUAGGGAAGAACAUAUGUGUAAGUAACUGUGCACAUCUUGACGGUACCUAAUCAGAAAGCCACGGCUAACUACGUGCCAGCAGCCGCGGUAAUACGUAGGUGGCAAGCGUUAUCCGGAAUUAUUGGGCGUAAAGCGCGCGUAGGCGGUUUUUUAAGUCUGAUGUGAAAGCCCACGGCUCAACCGUGGAGGGUCAUUGGAAACUGGAAAACUUGAGUGCAGAAGAGGAAAGUGGAAUUCCAUGUGUAGCGGUGAAAUGCGCAGAGAUAUGGAGGAACACCAGUGGCGAAGGCGACUUUCUGGUCUGUAACUGACGCUGAUGUGCGAAAGCGUGGGGAUCAAACAGGAUUAGAUACCCUGGUAGUCCACGCCGUAAACGAUGAGUGCUAAGUGUUAGGGGGUUUCCGCCCCUUAGUGCUGCAGCUAACGCAUUAAGCACUCCGCCUGGGGAGUACGACCGCAAGGUUGAAACUCAAAGGAAUUGACGGGGACCCGCACAAGCGGUGGAGCAUGUGGUUUAAUUCGAAGCAACGCGAAGAACCUUACCAAGUCUUGACAUCCUUUGACAACUCUAGAGAUAGAGCCUUCCCCUUCGGGGGACAAAGUGACAGGUGGUGCAUGGUUGUCGUCAGCUCGUGUCGUGAGAUGUUGGGUUAAGUCCCGCAGCGAGCGCAACCCUUAAGCUUAGUUGCCAUCAUUAAGUUGGGCACUCUAAGUUGACUGCCGGUGACAAACCGGAGGAAGGUGGGGAUGACGUCAAAUCAUCAUGCCCCUUAUGAUUUGGGCUACACACGUGCUACAAUGGACAAUACAAAGGGCAGCGAAACCGCGAGGUCAAGCAAAUCCCAUAAAGUUGUUCUCAGUUCGGAUUGUAGUCUGCAACUCGACUACAUGAAGCUGGAAUCGCUAGUAAUCGUAGAUCAGCAUGCUACGGUGAAUACGUUCCCGGGUCU
RNAcentral lists this ribosomal RNA (1372 nucleotides) under uncultured bacterium. RNAcentral's name for it is "bacterial SSU rRNA". It matches the Rfam family "Bacterial small subunit ribosomal RNA", at positions 28 to 1381 of the family's 1533-position model. The record is from RNAcentral.